Molecule: long non-coding RNA, 738 nt
Organism: Erinaceus europaeus (western European hedgehog)
Lineage: Eukaryota; Metazoa; Chordata; Mammalia; Eulipotyphla; Erinaceidae
Exons: 4
Source: RefSeq, a predicted model, not a curated record
UGGAUGGUUGGAUUGGAUCAGGGAGAUGACACGCAGAUGGACAGAUGUUGAUGAAUUGAGAUGUAUUUGGAAUGUAACCAGACAAGAUGGAAAGAGAGAACUAGUCAUACUUCAUUCCCGAGUGUCUGGCUCUGGCAUCUGGGUGGAAGUUGUUGACCUUCACUGAAAAUAGGAAAAUUAGAUGAUGGCGAAUGUGAGGAGCAUCAUCAGAGCCUAAUUUUUGAUAGGUGAAGUCCAAGGAACUUUGAAGACAUCAAAAGGAUAUAGGAGAAGAACACCUCUACAUUCCAGGGAGAGAUAGAAGCAAUACCACUACCAGGCUAUGUCCAAAGGACACAACAGCAUUAAUUGGAGAGGAUAUCUGCAUCCCUGUGUUCACAGCGACACUAUUCACAGUAGCCAAAAUAUGGAAUCAGCCUAUUACAGACAACUAGUGUACUGUUGCGACACUCAGACUGGUGGCCCUGGGAGCCAAAUGGCUGAUUGAGGGCCCCAGGAGGCCACCAUUCCAGAUGACUCUGUGGCUCACCAGUUCUCCUGAAACACUUGCUAAACUGGAACUCUGUAACCAAGAACUGCAACUUUGCACUGCUCCAGUCUGGACAAAGCUGAGAAACCAUAGCCACCUGUAUUCCCAGUAGGAGAUGGAUCUGUUUCAAAGUCUUCAAUGUGGAGAUGGAUCAUUGCUAUGUAAACCUGGAGCCUUCUUUGAUAUGUGAAAUGACUUUUACUUUAUUC